Molecule: ribosomal RNA, 119 nt
Organism: Pteropus vampyrus (large flying fox)
Lineage: Eukaryota; Metazoa; Chordata; Mammalia; Chiroptera; Pteropodidae
Source: Ensembl
AACUUCGGCCAUGCCACCCUAAACACACCUGAUCAAGUCUGAUCUCGGAAGUUAAGCAUGGUCAAGGCUGGUUAGUACUUGGAUGGGAGACUGCCUAGGAAUACCGGGUACUGUAGGCU